RNAcentral lists this ribosomal RNA (253 nucleotides) under uncultured bacterium. Its description in RNAcentral is "partial 16S ribosomal RNA". It matches the Rfam family "Bacterial small subunit ribosomal RNA", at positions 524 to 776 of the family's 1533-position model. The record is from RNAcentral.
UACGGGGGGGGCAAGCGUUGUUCGGAAUUACUGGGCGUAAAGGGCUUGUAGGCGGCCAACUAAGUCAGACGUGAAAUCCCUCGGCUUAACCGGGGAACUGCGUCUGAUACUGGAUGGCUUGGAUUUGGGAGAGGGAUGCGGAAUUCCAGGUGUAGCGGUGAAAUGCGUAGAUAUCUGGAGGAACACCGGUGGCGAAGGCGGCAUCCUGGACCAAUAUUGACGCUGAGGAGCGAAAGCUAGGGGAGCAAACGGG